ACGACUCUCGACAACGGAUAUCUCGGCUCUCGCAUCGAUGAAGAACGUAGCGAAGUGCGAUACUUGGUGUGAAUUGCAGAAUCCCGUGAACCAUCGAGUCUUUGAACGCAAGUUGCGCCCGAAGCCAAUAGGCCGAGGGCACGUCUGCCUGGGUGUCACA
RNAcentral lists this ribosomal RNA (160 nucleotides) under Anethum foeniculum (fennel). RNAcentral's name for it is "5.8S ribosomal RNA". It matches the Rfam family "5.8S ribosomal RNA". Rfam says of the family: 5.8S ribosomal RNA (5.8S rRNA) is a component of the large subunit of the eukaryotic ribosome. It is transcribed by RNA polymerase I as part of the 45S precursor that also contains 18S and 28S rRNA. Lineage: Eukaryota; Viridiplantae; Streptophyta; Magnoliopsida; Apiales; Apiaceae. The record is from RNAcentral.